Molecule: long non-coding RNA, 3831 nt
Filed under: Homo sapiens (human)
Lineage: Eukaryota; Metazoa; Chordata; Mammalia; Primates; Hominidae
Description: non-protein coding lnc-USP6NL-7:12
Source: RNAcentral
AGACCUUGGCAGAGAGCGCCCUGGGAAAUGCGGAUAUAGAAGGUCAGGAGAACAUCUCUCCUGGUUAUACAGCAUUCCAGGACUCCUCAUCUGUUUUUAAGAGGGAAAUCUGAGUUUUCAAGGAAAGCCGAAUACAGUUGCCAAGUUGCCAGUCAAAGAAACAAUGUCAACACCUGCUCAUAGAGAUGGAAUUCCUAACCCGGAAUAUUGCCCUUGAAUUACAACGAGAAAAAGCACCUCUUCAAGUGAGAUGGCAGACCACCUCAGGAUGGAAAUGUAUUUCUUCAUCCCCCUCUCUACUUCCCUGUGACCUCCUGCAAAUAAGGGAGAGACAAAGAGAAGAGCAGAAGAACAGAAGAAUGGAGUGGCAAAGAGAAGAGAAGGAGUGACUGAACAUUGACAAGACUUUGGUUGGGGAUGGUCAGAGAGGAGAUUAGCUGCUAGACGGCCACACUGCGGAGAAAGAUCAUUUUCCCACUCCAUCCCCCUUCCAGCUCCCCAUCCAUCUCACCAAGAGCCAGCUCCACCACUCAAUAAAACCUUACAUUCAUCUUUCAAGUCUGUGUGUGACCUGAUUCUUCCUGGAUGCUGGACAAGGACUUGGGUAUCAAGAGGGCACUGAGCUGGUUAACACUUAAGCUGUUCAUGGACAACAAGGCUAGCACUGUAACACGCUGACUGGGGCUUUGGGAGUCAUGGACACCCACCCCUAGAUGCUGCCAUGGGGCUGGAACCCAGGGGUGCUCAUCCCAGCUCCUACACCUGCCCAUCUGUGUGCUCCCCAGCCUGUAAGGAGUUUAAGCACACAGCACCAGAAUAAAUGAGGCAUAUCCCUGUUGCUCAUCCUGCAAGGGGGUUCAGGGAACUCUCCCAUUUCAGUGAGAUGGGUUGAAAUGUGUUUAGUUGAAUAUCUGGAGCCAUCUAAACCUCAGAAAUAAAACCCCAGUUGACUCAAAGUCAGCAAGUUGGAGGUCAUGACCUUCAGUUCUUUAUUUAUUUUUUUUUUUUGGGAAGGAGUCUUGCUCUGCCACCAGGCUAGAGUGCAGUGGCACGAUCUUGGCUCACUGCAAGCUCUGCCUCCCAGGUUUAAGCAAUUCUCCUGCCUCAGCCUCCCAAGUAGCUGGGACUACAGGUGUGUACCACCACGCCCAGCUACUUUUUUUUUGUAUUUUUAGUAGAGACAAGGUUUCACCAUGUUGCCAGGAUGGUCUCAAUCUCUUGAUGCCGUGAUCUGCCCGCCUUGGCCUCCCAAAGUGCUGGGAUUAUAGGCAUGAGCCACUGUGCCCAGCCCCAUGACAUGCAGUUCUGAUUUUGUUUGAGAGCACUCCUGCUUGGAGACUGAAGAUUGUUGCUUAGAACUUCAACUGCAGAGCAUUCAGUUCUUCUGGAAAUAAUACUGCAUUCAUUUCCUGGGGUCACUGUCACAAAGUCUCACAAACUGAGUGUCUUGAAAACAGAAUUUUAUUGUCUCAUACUUCUGGAGGCUGGAAGUCUAAGAUCAUGGUGUCGGUACUGGCAGGGUUGGUUCCUUCUGAGGCUGUGAGAGAGAAUCUGUUCUGCCACUCUCUGAGCUUCUGGUAGCCUCAGGCAUCCCUUGGUUUGUAGAUGGCCAUCUCCUCUGUGGGUUCUCCCUCUGUACUUUCCCUCUGUAUCUUCCUGUCCCUGUACCUGUCUCUGUGUUCAAAGUCUCCCUUUUGCUAAGGACACAGUCAUACCGGAUUAGGGCUCUCCCUAAUGACCUCAACUUGUGCAUCUGCAAAGACUUUAUUUCAAGUAAGGUCACAGUCACAGAUACUGUGAAUUAGGACUUCAAUAUCAUCUUGGGGGACUCAUUUCAGCCCAUAACAAAUCUUUUCUGCCACCCGAAAGAAGUCAGGACUAACCAGAAAGAGUGAAAACCCUUCACAAGAGGAAAUUUCUUAAUGUUUCUGAAAAAAGAGAUACAUCCUACCUUAAACCUAUAUAGGAUUUUACAGACUAUAAAACAUAUUCAUGAUCUUCAUAGUAACCCUUCAAAUCUACUAAAUACAUUUAUAGUCAGAACGUUUAAUUAAACACUUUGAGGUCACAUUCACAAGGGAGGGUCUACGGCUGAACUUUAGUCAUACAAUCCCAUUCAUGUUUACUGCUCUCCCCAAAUAAAUGAGCAGUCCAGUCUGACUCAUCACAGACCAGGGGGCACGAUGGCUGAGAAACCGCAGACUAACCUAGCUGACAUCACAAAGAACCUGAAAGGUCUGGUCACAAGAGAGCAAAGGAAGGUGAAUAAAUCCUCCUUCAGAAAGUGGCGCAUUCAGGAUGAGAUGCUGAGGAAGAAAGGAAAACACAGUGCUACCACUUGUGAAGAUCACUGAUUAAUACAGACACUGAAGACUACCUUUUUUUUGAUUAGGAUGGAAAGAGGUCUCUUGAAUUUACCAGGAUAUACUGCUAAUCUGGCAACACCAAGAAGCACUGAGCACCUAUCUUCUUUAAAAUGCCUAGGGAAUUCUUGCAGGAAGUAACUCUAGAAUGAGACCUGAAGUUGUCAAGUAGAAAAGGGGUGCGGCUGAAGAACUGCUGUAGAGGCAGACAGAACAGCUGUGCAGGAAGUGAGAGCAAGAUCUUGACAAAUAUUAUACAUAAUCUGGGGAUGAAUGAAUUUUUCCAUGCUUGAAAGGAACACCUUUGGAAACCCCUGACCAGGGUAAAGCAAGGAUCCCAACGCACUGCGAACAGCUGGGUGACGGAGUACCGUUUACAUCUUCACAGAAGUUUUUCACCAUUUCUCCAAUCAUUCUGUGUUUUCCAGCAAGUUUCUAUAGAAGUAUGCUCCAACUCACUCCGUCGUAAGCACGGCUUCUCUCCUGAGUAUGCUAAACUCCCCAAACGCAGCAACAACACAGCGUUCCGAUCUUUGGAAUUAAUAAGCAGUGAAACGUUUGAAACUGAACAAAAAUUUUUACAGCUACUGAACUUCCUGUAAGGAAGGCAUGCUUAGUAAACUGCACUCUUUCUGUAAUACUGUGAAAUGGGAGGUAUUUACGUUGGAGGGCUGAUUGCUGGUUCUUCAUAUGAUGUUUUGAAGUGGAGGUUUCUAUUAAUGAUGCCUCUGUUGAGCACAUCUGGUAUAUUUCUGAAGAGAGGCUUUGUAAACACAUUGGGCAGGCCCAGCUUGUAAGUGACAAGGCAGCACAGUGAGGGUGCAGUGGAGAAAUCCAAGGAAAUAAGGGAUUUGUAAGAAACUAGGACCAGCUUAAGUUAUAAUGAAAGGGCAUCGUGUUAGGAAAAGAACAUUUCCAUCCUUCAGUCACCAUCAGUUAAAGCAGACGUACAUGGAAACCAGAAUGAUCUCUUUACAAGGUUAUUAAAGAUUGUUUUUAUUACCAUAAAUCACUCCUCAUUGGUCUCCUAUCUCCAAUUUGAUGUUUAGAAUCUAAUCUGGAAUUCUUAUGAUGCCCUAGGAGGCCCCUGAUGCUCUGCCUCCUGGUCUGUUUCUAUGUCUCUGUCCCCUAUAUAUAUAUUUUUUUUUUUUUGAGACAGAGUCUCUCUCUGUCAUGCAGCGGCACCAUCUCAGUUCACUACAGCCUCUGCCUGCUGGGUUCAAGUGAUUUUCCUGUCUCAGCCUUCCAAGUAGCUGGAAUUACAUGCAUGCAUAUGACCAGCUAAUUUUUGUAGUUUUAGUAGAGACUGGGUUUUACCAUGUUGGCCAGGCUGGUCUCAAAUUCCUGAUCUGAAGUCAUUGCCUGCCUUGGCCUCCCAAACUGCUGGGAUUACAGGUGUGAGCCACCGCACCUGGCCUCCAUCUCCUGCUUUCUCUCUGUACCAUCCCAGAGCCCCAGUGCCUCCUUG